GGGAAACGAGCAGAGGGGCCAGCCUCAGACCCCACAACAAACUGGGGCA
Pongo abelii (Sumatran orangutan) is the source of this 49-nucleotide non-coding RNA. Lineage: Eukaryota; Metazoa; Chordata; Mammalia; Primates; Hominidae. The record is from Rfam.